CAUUCCAGGGACCUAGAGAUCACCUCUCCACAGUUGAGGACAAAGGCCAGACCUCUGUUGGGUAUUGUUACCAUCCUCAUGAACAGAUGAAGAAAUUGAGGCAAAGAGAGCAACUUCCCCAAGGUCAUCUAACCCCCAGGUGGCCCCAGAGAUGGAACUGGUUCUGUUGGAUUCCAGAGCAUCAAGCCCUUAACCACUGUUCCGCAAUGGAUUGGGGCAGUCCAGUGAGAUCAUGGCAACGGACAGGCCAUUUCCAGAAGAGGAUUUAGCUUGAAAUCAGGCUUAGAGUGAGGCAUGAGAUGAUAAGAUAAAAUGACACUGAAUAAUCUGUGAAAAACGCAGUAGAAAGCCACUGCAAGUUCAAAUGGUGAAAGAGAUCAUUGUUAAAGAUACAGAGUUCAGAGGAAGUAAUGGUAUGUGACUUCUGAGGCUGGCUCAUAAAAGGUGCUGCAGCUCCCUCCUGGUUCUCCUGGGACACUGGCUCUGUGGGAAGUCAGCCACCAUGUAAGAAGUCUGACAAUCCUGAGACCACCUGCUGGAGAGAACACGUGUAAACAAUUCAGGAGACAGCCCAAGCUGAGCUCCCAGCCAAGUGCCCAGCAUCGACUGCCAGCCAUGCGAGUGAGCCAACUUGGGCGUCUGGCCCAAUCGUGCCUUCAGACGACUGCAGUCCCAGCCAGCAUCUAAUUGCGUCCGCGUGAGAGAUUCCAAGAUAAAACUGCCCACCAGAGCUCUCCCAGUUUCCUGACUCAUAAAAUCAACAAGCAAAAUAAAAUGGUUGUUGUUUUAUACCA
Long non-coding RNA from Equus caballus (horse), 794 nucleotides. RefSeq lists it as uncharacterized. NCBI's taxonomy places the organism in Eukaryota, Metazoa, Chordata, Mammalia, Perissodactyla, Equidae. The record is from RefSeq and is a predicted model, not a curated record.